CUCCCCAUCUCCUUCCCCUAAAAAAACUGCCCAUCUCCUUCCCCUAAAAACGAACUCCCCAUCGCCUCAUCUCAGAAAAUAAAAAACCCUCUCACACACGCCGCCGCCGCAGCAGAAGCAGCCGCCGUGUUCGCCUCGCUGCAUACAGCUGGUCGAUCAUAGCAAUCUUUCCAUAUGCUUAAUACCCUCAUGCCUUCAAACUUUCCAAGCGCUUAAUCCCCUCAUGCGUUCAAACUUUAUCCGUGCAAUUUCCCGGAUCUUCGUUUCUCUUUGUGUUGUGGCGGCCGUUGUGCGAGUCAACGUGCUUGAGCGCGUCAGGUUCGGUUUCAAGGUGCAGUGAUGGAGUAUGAUGCUAUUGGCUUGCUGCCUACUUCUAGGCUUGGUUUGGGGCUCCUUCAAGUCUUGAUCCAUGGCUA
Aegilops tauschii subsp. strangulata is the source of this 416-nucleotide non-coding RNA. Lineage: Eukaryota; Viridiplantae; Streptophyta; Magnoliopsida; Poales; Poaceae. The record is from RefSeq and is a predicted model, not a curated record.